AUAUUUACCUGGCAAGGGUGAUACCAGGAUCACAAAGGUAGUUUUCCCAGGGCAAGACUUAUUCACUGCACUCCGGGUGUGUUGACCCCUGCAAUUCCUCCAAACAUGGGAAACUCGACUGCAUAAUUUGUAGUGGGGGGUGGGACGGGACUGUGUUUCUACUCUCUCCUGACCCUCCCCCA
Small nuclear RNA from Otolemur garnettii (small-eared galago), 182 nucleotides. Its record names the gene U1. It matches the Rfam family "U1 spliceosomal RNA". Rfam says of the family: U1 is a small nuclear RNA (snRNA) component of the spliceosome (involved in pre-mRNA splicing). Lineage: Eukaryota; Metazoa; Chordata; Mammalia; Primates; Galagidae. The record is from Ensembl.